GGCUGGUCCAAAGGUAGUGAGUUAUCUCACUUGAUUGUUCACAGUCAGUUACAGAUUGAACUCUUUGUUCUGCUCUUUCCUUCCCUCACAGUACUCUACUCGAUUAGUCUAAA
Molecule: Y RNA, 113 nt
Filed under: Propithecus coquereli (Coquerel's sifaka)
Lineage: Eukaryota; Metazoa; Chordata; Mammalia; Primates; Indriidae
Description: Y RNA (ENSPCOG00000012049.1)
Rfam family: Y RNA
About the family: Y RNAs are components of the Ro ribonucleoprotein particle (Ro RNP), in association with Ro60 and La proteins. The Y RNAs and Ro60 and La proteins are well conserved, but the function of the Ro RNP is not known.
Source: Rfam by way of RNAcentral